CCUACGGGAGGCUGCAGUGGGGAAUAUUGGACAAUGGGGGCAACCCUGAUCCAGCCAUGCCGCGUGUGUGAAGAAGGCCCUCGGGUUGUAAAGCACUUUCAGUGAGGAAGAACGCCUGGUGGUUAAUACCCAUCAGGAAAGACAUCACUCACAGAAGAAGCACCGGCUAACUCCGUGCCAGCAGCCGCGGUAAUACGGAGGGUGCGAGCGUUAAUCGGAAUUACUGGGGGUAAAGCGCGCGUAGGUGGCUUGAUAAGCCGGUUGUGAAAGCCCCGGGCUCAACCUGGGAACGGCAUCCGGAACUGUCAAGCUAGAGUGCAGGAGAGGAAGGUAGAAUUCCCGGUGUAGCGGUGAAAUGCGUAGAGAUCGGGAGGAAUACCAGUGGCGAAGGCGGCCUUCUGGACUGACACUGACACUGAGGUGCGAAAGCGUGGGUAGCAAACAGGAUUAGAUACCCUGGUAGUC
Molecule: ribosomal RNA, 465 nt
Filed under: Vreelandella stevensii
Lineage: Bacteria; Pseudomonadati; Pseudomonadota; Gammaproteobacteria; Oceanospirillales; Halomonadaceae
Description: partial 16S ribosomal RNA
Rfam family: Bacterial small subunit ribosomal RNA
Source: RNAcentral